Molecule: long non-coding RNA, 204 nt
Filed under: Nicotiana benthamiana
Lineage: Eukaryota; Viridiplantae; Streptophyta; Magnoliopsida; Solanales; Solanaceae
Description: long non-coding RNA (NBEN_LNC005637)
Source: RNAcentral
UUGUGCUUUGAUACUAGACACCUAUGGCCCUAGGGCGAUAGUUGAAAGGAUAUUGGGUACGAUUAAAUGCUUGUAGAAUUAGUGAUUGAUCAAGACUGUCAACUCUUGGUAAUGAGUUUAAGCUCCAUGUUUUCAUGAAUAUAAACGACCAAACUAAGACCUUGGCCAGGGCAAUUGAAUGAAAGAAGAAAUGAGUUUCUNNNN